GGUGGCGGGUGCUAUACUGCAAGUCGAACGAGGUGCUUUUGUAGCAAUACGAGAGUAUCCUAGUGGCGAACGGGUGAGUAACGCGUUGGUGACCUGCCCCAAAGUGUGGGAUAACAGUUCGAAAGGAUUGCUAAUACCGCAUGUGGUCAUUGGAUUUAGAAACUAAUGACUAAAGCAGUAAUGCGCUUUGGGAGGGACCUGCGUCCCAUCAGCUAGUUGGUGAGGUAACGGCUCACCAAGGCUACGACGGGUAGGGGACCUGAGAGGGUGGCCCCCCACAAUGGAACUGAAACACGGUCCAUACACCUACGGGUGGCAGCAGUAGGGAAUAUUGCUCAAUGGGCGAAAGCCUGAAGCAGCAACGCCGCGUGCGCGAUGAAGGCCUUCGGGUCGUAAAGCGCUUUUCUGGGAGAUGAGAAAGGACAGUAUCUCAGGAAUAAGUCUCGGCUAACUACGUGCCAGCAGCCGCGGUAAAACGUAGGAGGCAAGCGUUAUCCGGAUUCACUGGGCGUAAAGCGCGUGCAGGCGGUUCGGUAAGUUGGGCGUGAAAUCUCUUGGCUUAACUAGGAGAGGUCGUUCAAUACUACCGGACUCGAGAGUGGUAGAGGAAGAUGGAAUUCCCGGUGUAGUGGUGAAAUGCGUAGAUAUCGGGAGGAACACCAGUGGCGAAAGCGAUCUUCUGGACCAUUUCUGACGCUCAGACGCGAAAGCUAGGGUAGUAAACGGGAUUAGAGACCCCGGUAAUCCUAGCCGUAAACGAU
This 761-nucleotide ribosomal RNA is filed under the name uncultured bacterium. RNAcentral's name for it is "bacterial SSU rRNA". It matches the Rfam family "Bacterial small subunit ribosomal RNA", at positions 38 to 810 of the family's 1533-position model. The record is from RNAcentral.